GCCUAACACAUGCAAGUCGAACGAAGCGAUUUAACGGAAGUUUUCGGAUGGAAGUUGAAUUGACUGAGUGGCGGACGGGUGAGUAACGCGUGGGUAACCUGCCUUGUACUGGGGGACAACAGUUAGAAAUGACUGCUAAUACCGCAUAAGCGCACAGUAUCGCAUGAUACAGUGUGAAAAACUCCGGUGGUACAAGAUGGACCCGCGUCUGAUUAGCUAGUUGGUAAGGUAACGGCUUACCAAGGCGACGAUCAGUAGCCGACCUGAGAGGGUGACCGGCCACAUUGGGACUGAGACACGGCCCAAACUCCUACGGGAGGCAGCAGUGGGGAAUAUUGCACAAUGGGCGAAAGCCUGAUGCAGCGACGCCGCGUGAGUGAAGAAGUAUUUCGGUAUGUAAAGCUCUAUCAGCAGGGAAGAAAAUGACGGUACCCGACUAAGAAGCCCCGGCUAACUACGUGCCAGCAGCCGCGGUAAUACGUAGGGGGCAAGCGUUAUCCGGAUUUACUGGGUGUAAAGGGAGCGUAGACGGUAAAGCAAGUCUGAAGUGAAAGCCCGCGGCUCAACUGCGGGACUGCUUUGGAAACUGUUUAACUGGAGUGUCGGAGAGGUAAGUGGAAUUCCUAGUGUAGCGGUGAAAUGCGUAGAUAUUAGGAGGAACACCAGUGGCGAAGGC
This 676-nucleotide ribosomal RNA is filed under the name uncultured Lachnospiraceae bacterium. RNAcentral describes it as "bacterial SSU rRNA". It matches the Rfam family "Bacterial small subunit ribosomal RNA", at positions 46 to 722 of the family's 1533-position model. Lineage: Bacteria; Bacillati; Bacillota; Clostridia; Lachnospirales; Lachnospiraceae. The record is from RNAcentral.